Molecule: long non-coding RNA, 787 nt
Filed under: Olea europaea subsp. europaea
Lineage: Eukaryota; Viridiplantae; Streptophyta; Magnoliopsida; Lamiales; Oleaceae
Source: RNAcentral
GGUGUACGCGGGGCUCUUGAGGCUACUUUGUGCAUAAGCUAUCCUUAGGUGUAGUAGGGAGAUGUUAACUAAACUAUAACUUAAAUGAGUGAGAUAAACUCUACAAAAAAUUGUUCGUCAAAGUUGGCUUUAAAAGCUGUCUUUAAAACUUGUUACAUUACAACAUUCUCAUUUACAGUUGCAAUUUCAUUAUGGUGAAUUGAUUUCAAAGGAAGAAAGAUUCUUGAUUAGAGCCCAAGCAUUGCUAGUUAAUUGAGCUACAUUUACAAUGUAAUUUUUAAAAGUGCCCUUAAUUUUCCCAUUCAUAGCAUUUCCUUCAAAUCCAUUCAUGCAGGUAGGUAUCUUCAUCUGUCAACGCAGCACUAACCCGUCAUAACACUGUUCAUUUCCUUUUCAAAUUCUGGGCUUUCCAAAUUCUUCCUAGCUGCCAAAGAUUUUCAGACCUCUGUUCUCCACAAAAUCAGUUAUUACACGUGCUUCUCGGGAAGCUAAAUUGCUCAUUUUCGACAACUUUGAUACAGCAUCCAAGGUUGACUGAGCAGCUUUGAGAUUGACAGUGAGAGCAGCAUUUGCUUGGACUAUUCUGGAUGGAGCUAGCAUAAGAUGAGAGUCUGUUCAAACAUAGUUUUGGGUACAAUGUUACUUCACAUGAUGUUUUGAUGAAUUGUGUGCUGGUGGAAUGGUCGAAUCCUUGUGGCUGAGCAUGUAAUGGCUACAAGGCUAUGAAAGUAGAGUAGCUUUGAGAGAAGACGAGAGUCCAAAAAGACUCCUUCACUUGAGGAGUAUG